UGGGAACGUGCCCAAAGGUACGGAACAACUCCGGGAAACUGGAGCUAAUACCGUAUGUGCCCGAAAGGGAAAGAUUCAUCGCCUUUGGAUCGGCCCGCGUCUGAUUAGCUAGUUGGCGGGGUAAUGGCCCACCAAGGCGACGAUCAGUAGCUGGUCUGAGAGGAUGACCAGCCACACUGGGACUGAGACACGGCCCAGACUCCUACGGGAGGCAG
Molecule: ribosomal RNA, 215 nt
Filed under: uncultured bacterium
Lineage: Bacteria
Description: partial 16S ribosomal RNA
Rfam family: Bacterial small subunit ribosomal RNA
Source: RNAcentral